Molecule: ribosomal RNA, 468 nt
Filed under: uncultured bacterium
Lineage: Bacteria
Description: partial 16S ribosomal RNA
Rfam family: Bacterial small subunit ribosomal RNA
Source: RNAcentral
GACGAACGCUGGCGGCGUGCUUAACACAUGCAAGUCGAACGGAAAGGCCCUGCUUUUGUGGGGUGCUCGAGUGGCGAACGGGUGAGUAACACGUGAGUAACCUGCCCUUGACUUUGGGAUAACUUCAGGAAACUGGGGCUAAUACCGGAUAGGAGCUCCUGCUGCAUGGUGGGGGUUGGAAAGUUUCGGCGGUUGGGGAUGGACUCGCGGCUUAUCAGCUUGUUGGUGGGGUAGUGGCUUACCAAGGCUUUGACGGGUAGCCGGCCUGAGAGGGUGACCGGCCACAUUGGGACUGGGAUACGGCCCGGACUCCUACGGGAGGCAGCAGUGGGGAAUAUUGCACAAUGGGCGGAGGCCUGAUGCAGCAACGCCGCGUGCGGGAUGACGGCCUUCGGGUUGUAAACCGCUUUCGCCUGUGACGAAGCGUUAGUGACGGUAAUGGGUAAAGAAGCACCGGCUAACUACGUG